CAACUGGGAUGCCUUACCAGGCAAUAUGGAGCACCUUACAUCGCUCAAGGAACUACAAAUCGAAGGGUGCUUGAAUAUCCGGUCGCUUCCAACACUGCCCCGUUCUCUUGAGAAGUUUUGUGUUGCAUACUGCAGUGGUGAGUUCACGAAGUCGUGUCAAACAGUCAGACAUCCAAAUUGGCAGAAGAUCAAGCACAUCCCCGACCAAAGAUUUGAAGACCCAGCAUCCUCAGAAGAAAAUUCUAGUUAGAUUUUCCCGCAAAAAAAGAGAAGAAAGAAGAGAAGGUUGGCUAGGAAUCACAAGUCCGUGAAUCAGUGAAGGAAUGUGGAGCCAUCAGGAUUUGUUCUUACUUUCCAUGUGCUUGUUUUAUUGUGCACUGUGAUUUUCAAUGUGCACCAGACGUGUAUGGCCGACUACUGUUUCAUAUGACUAUUUGUGAGUGAGUGUGAGAGAAUUCUGUAUACUAUUCAGUACUAUUUCUGAUCUGUAAUAAUGUGGGCAGUACCGUUUAAUUUGAUUGGUGAAUGCUAUUUAAUCA
Triticum dicoccoides is the source of this 539-nucleotide long non-coding RNA. RefSeq lists it as uncharacterized. The record is from RefSeq and is a predicted model, not a curated record. The transcript has 2 exons. NCBI's taxonomy places the organism in Eukaryota, Viridiplantae, Streptophyta, Magnoliopsida, Poales, Poaceae.